Chiroxiphia lanceolata (lance-tailed manakin) is the source of this 255-nucleotide long non-coding RNA. RefSeq lists it as uncharacterized. Lineage: Eukaryota; Metazoa; Chordata; Aves; Passeriformes; Pipridae. The transcript has 2 exons. The record is from RefSeq and is a predicted model, not a curated record.
AUUGAGGAAGCCCAUUAGUGCUUGUUUGUUCAAGUUCUGGCACACCAUCCCAUUGCUCAUCACUGAUGAUCCUGGUUUUGUCUCUUUGCCCCUUCCAAGCUAGUUUAAAGCUCUAUCAAGAAGUCCUGCUAGCUCCUGUGGUAGAACUCUUUCUCCUAUGGAUUCAUGGAAAGUAUUGUACAGUAAUAAUAACUGAUCUGCAAGUCGCCUGAAAAUAUGUGAAUUCCUGCAGCAAUCAUUACAAGAAGAAAUUAU